This 260-nucleotide unclassified non-coding RNA is filed under the name rhizosphere metagenome. RNAcentral describes it as "partial ribosomal RNA internal transcribed spacer region". The record is from RNAcentral.
GUAGGUGAACCUGCGGAAGGAUCAUUACCAAAUCCAAAAAAACUUUACCAACACCCAAUGUGAACUGAGAGUGGUUUCGUUCCCCUCCUUCUUCCUUCUUUCUUUCUACUCUUAUUCUUAAGAGUGGGGGGAAUGAGGAGUUGGCGGGAGGGGAAUGCCUUUUUUUUAACCCCUUUACAACUAUACAAGCAUUAUUUAUGCUGAAAGCAAAACAAAAGCGAAACAUGAGACAACUUUUAACGGUGGAUCUCUUGGCUCGG